RNAcentral lists this ribosomal RNA (413 nucleotides) under uncultured Cloacibacterium sp. Its description in RNAcentral is "bacterial SSU rRNA". It matches the Rfam family "Bacterial small subunit ribosomal RNA", at positions 980 to 1397 of the family's 1533-position model. The record is from RNAcentral. Lineage: Bacteria; Pseudomonadati; Bacteroidota; Flavobacteriia; Flavobacteriales; Weeksellaceae.
CUUAAAUGGGAAUUGACAGCUUUAGAAAUAGAGCUUUCUUCGGACAAUUUUCAAGGUGCUGCAUGGUUGUCGUCAGCUCGUGCCGUGAGGUGUUAGGUUAAGUCCUGCAACGAGCGCAACCCCUGUCACUAGUUGCCAUCAUUCAGUUGGGGACUCUAGUGAGACUGCCUACGCAAGUAGAGAGGAAGGUGGGGAUGACGUCAAAUCAUCACGGCCCUUACGUCUUGGGCCACACACGUAAUACAAUGGCCGGUACAGAGGGCAGCUACACAGCGAUGUGAUGCAAAUCUCGAAAGCCGGUCUCAGUUCGGAUUGGAGUUUGCAACUCGACUCUAUGAAGCUGGAAUCGCUAGUAAUCGCGCAUCAGCCAUGGCGCGGUGAAUACGUUCCCGGGCCUUGUACACACCGCCCGU